Molecule: ribosomal RNA, 249 nt
Filed under: uncultured prokaryote
Description: partial 16S ribosomal RNA
Rfam family: Bacterial small subunit ribosomal RNA
Source: RNAcentral
UACGGAGGAUGCAAGCGUUAUCCGGAUUUAUUGGGUUUAAAGGGUGCGUAGGCGGAUAUGUAAGUCAGCGGUGAAACUCACAGGCUCAACCUGUGCCGUGCCGUUGAAACUGUGUAUCUGGAAUGCGGAUGCUGUGGGAGGAAUGUGUAGUGUAGCGGUGAAAUGCAUAGAUAUUACACAGAACACCGAUUGCGAAGGCAUCUCACAAAGCCAAGAUUGACGCUGAGGCACGAAAGUGUGGGGAUCAAA